CCUACGGGAGGCUGCAGUAGGGAAUCUUCCACAAUGGGCGAAAGCCUGAUGGAGCAACGCCGCGUGGGUGAAGAAGGUUUUCGGAUCGUAAAACUCUGUUGUUAGAGAAGAAAGUGCGUGAGAGUAACUGUUCACGUUUCGACGGUAACUAACCAGAAAGCCACGGCUAACUACGUGCCAGCAGCCGCGGUAAUACGUAGGUGGCAAGCGUUAUCCGGAUUUAUUGGGCGGAAAGGGAACGCGGGCGGUCUUUUAAGUCUGAUGUGAAAGCCUUCGGCUUAACCGGAUUAGUGCAUUGGAAACUGGGAGACUUGAGUGCAGAAGAGGAGAGUGGAACUCCAUGUGUAGCGGUGAAAUGCGUAGAUAUAUGGAAGAACACCAGUGGCGAAAGCGGCUCUCUGGUCUGUAACUGACGCUGAGGUUCGAAAGCGUGGGUAGCAAACAGGAUUAGAUACCCUGGUAGUC
Molecule: ribosomal RNA, 465 nt
Filed under: uncultured bacterium
Lineage: Bacteria
Description: partial 16S ribosomal RNA
Rfam family: Bacterial small subunit ribosomal RNA
Source: RNAcentral